Molecule: ribosomal RNA, 1374 nt
Filed under: Klebsiella pneumoniae
Lineage: Bacteria; Pseudomonadati; Pseudomonadota; Gammaproteobacteria; Enterobacterales; Enterobacteriaceae
Description: bacterial LSU rRNA
Rfam family: Bacterial large subunit ribosomal RNA
Source: RNAcentral
ACUACGGUGCUGAAGUAACAAAUGCCCUGCUUCCAGGAAAAGCCUCUAAGCAUCAGGUAACAUCAAAUCGUACCCCAAACCGACACAGGUGGUCAGGUAGAGAAUACCAAGGCGCUUGAGAGAACUCGGGUGAAGGAACUAGGCAAAAUGGUGCCGUAACUUCGGGAGAAGGCACGCUGGUGUGUAGGUGAAGCCCCUGCGGGUGGAGCUGAGACCAGUCGAAGAUACCAGCUGGCUGCAACUGUUUAUUAAAAACACAGCACUGUGCAAACACGAAAGUGGACGUAUACGGUGUGACGCCUGCCCGGUGCCGGAAGGUUAAUUGAUGGGGUUAUCCGUAAGGAGAAGCUCUUGAUCGAAGCCCCGGUAAACGGCGGCCGUAACUAUAACGGUCCUAAGGUAGCGAAAUUCCUUGUCGGGUAAGUUCCGACCUGCACGAAUGGCGUAAUGAUGGCCAGGCUGUCUCCACCCGAGACUCAGUGAAAUUGAACUCGCUGUGAAGAUGCAGUGUACCCGCGGCAAGACGGAAAGACCCCGUGAACCUUUACUAUAGCUUGACACUGAACAUUGAGCCUUGAUGUGUAGGAUAGGUGGGAGGCUUUGAAGCGUGGACGCCAGUCUGCGUGGAGCCAACCUUGAAAUACCACCCUUUAAUGUUUGAUGUUCUAACGUUGGCCCCUUACCGGGGUUGCGGACAGUGUCUGGUGGGUAGUUUGACUGGGGCGGUCUCCUCCCAAAGCGUAACGGAGGAGCACGAAGGUUAGCUAAUCCUGGUCGGACAUCAGGAGGUUAGUGCAAUGGCAUAAGCUAGCUUGACUGCGAGCGUGACGGCGCGAGCAGGUGCGAAAGCAGGUCAUAGUGAUCCGGUGGUUCUGAAUGGAAGGGCCAUCGCUCAACGGAUAAAAGGUACUCCGGGGAUAACAGGCUGAUACCGCCCAAGAGUUCAUAUCGACGGCGGUGUUUGGCACCUCGAUGUCGGCUCAUCACAUCCUGGGGCUGAAGUAGGUCCCAAGGGUAUGGCUGUUCGCCAUUUAAAGUGGUACGCGAGCUGGGUUUAGAACGUCGUGAGACAGUUCGGUCCCUAUCUGCCGUGGGCGCUGGAGAAUUGAGGGGGGCUGCUCCUAGUACGAGAGGACCGGAGUGGACGCAUCACUGGUGUUCGGGUUGUCAUGCCAAUGGCACUGCCCGGUAGCUAAAUGCGGAAGAGAUAAGUGCUGAAAGCAUCUAAGCACGAAACUUGCCCCGAGAUGAGUUCUCCCUGAGACUUUAAGUCUCCUGAAGGAACGUUAAAGACGAUGACGUUGAUAGGCCGGGUGUGUAAGCGCAGCGAUGCGUUGAGCUAACCGGUACUAAUGAACCGUGAGGCUUAACCUU